AAGUGCCCCGCCUGGGGAGUACGGCCGCAAGGCUAAAACUCAAAGGAAUUGACGGGGGCCCGCACAAGCGGCGGAGCAUGCGGAUUAAUUCGAUGCAACGCGAAGAACCUUACCAAGGCUUGACAUGAACCGGAAAGACCUGGAAACAGGUGCCCCGCUUGCGGUCGGUUUACAGGUGGUGCAUGGUUGUCGUCAGCUCGUGUCGUGAGAUGUUGGGUUAAGUCCCGCAACGAGCGCAACCCUCGUUCUAUGUUGCCAGCACGUGAUGGUGGGGACUCAUAGGAGACUGCCGGGGUCAACUCGGAGGAAGGUGGGGACGACGUCAAAUCAUCAUGCCCCUUAUGUCUUGGGCUUCACGCAUGCUACAAUGGCCGGUACAAAGGGUUGCGAUACUGUGAGGUGGAGCUAAUCCCAAAAAGCCGGUCUCAGUUCGGAUUGGGGUCUGCAACUCGACCCCAUGAAGUCGGAGUCGCUAGUAAUCGCAGAUCAGCAACGCUGCGGUGAAUACGUUCCCGGGCCUUG
Molecule: ribosomal RNA, 522 nt
Filed under: Arthrobacter sp. MU2A-20
Lineage: Bacteria; Bacillati; Actinomycetota; Actinomycetes; Micrococcales; Micrococcaceae
Description: bacterial SSU rRNA
Rfam family: Bacterial small subunit ribosomal RNA
Source: RNAcentral